RNAcentral lists this long non-coding RNA (1009 nucleotides) under Setaria viridis. Its description in RNAcentral is "long non-coding RNA (SVIR_LNC011317)". Lineage: Eukaryota; Viridiplantae; Streptophyta; Magnoliopsida; Poales; Poaceae. The record is from RNAcentral.
CAACUAGGCCAUCUUCUUCGGAUGGUCCGUUGCCCCCGCCGCCUGCUCCUGCUGUUCUUGGGUUCUUGAUGGAUCUUUCACGUCUUUGCUUUGGUGGCCGUUUCUUGGUCUUAUUUGGGAUGUUUCUUGGAUCUCGGGGUCUUGCAGGGCGCAGAAAACAAGGAUUUUGCAGAAGCUCAAUGUUUGCAGUUCUCAAGAUUUCCUUGUUUUAAUUUCCAUCCAUUUGUUUCUUCCCCAGACCCAGCUUAUGUGGGAGCUUUUGCUCUACGUAUGCCCUUUUCAAUUUCCAUCUAUUUGUAUUAACCAAAUUUUUGUUUCUUCUGCCAAUUUUACAGAGAUCUUUGAUUUUUGUUGAGAUCUUUGAUUUAAGUGGGUCCGACCGUCCAAGAGUGUAAUCGUGUGACAGUAUGAGACAAUAUUGUAAUUACAAGGUUGCACAUAAAGGUGGAUUCUAUUUUCAUUAUAUGGUUCUGUUGGACAAGAAAUUAUUAGUGAAAAUUUGUAUUGUUACAAUUGGAAACGGCUUUUCAGCUGCUUGUGUUUGCAAAGAUGCUUCCCGAUUGAUAAGCCAGCCUUGCGUGGCGCAUGCAUGGAAUAGGGUGCUGCUAUUUCAGAAGCGAGCACGGUGGUGUUAUUUCGUUGAAGUGCACUUAAAUUGCCAAAUUAUAACUUUGCAUCAAUAUUCUCGCUUAAUUGAAAUUGAAGUGCAGUUAAAUUACCGAUUUAUAACUUUGCAUCAAUAAUAUUGCUUAAUUAAAAAAUUCAUGUUUACAUAAAAAAUGAUAUUAGCCUAUUACGUCGUGUAGAGGAAGAUUAAUUUGCGAAACAAUUGCAUAGAUGAAGAUUAAUUUACGAGACGAAUCUAUUAAGUCUAAUUAAUUUAUAAUUAGCACAUGUUUAAACAAAUAAGUCUAAUUAAUUUAUAAUUAGCACAUAUUUAAACAAAUAUUCGUGGACUAAUUAGGUUUAAUAGAUUCGUCUCGUGGAUUAGCCUCCAUCUAUGUAAUUG